UGAGGAGCGCGCCAACGAAAAUCAGUUGGACAGAGUUGGCCUUCGGGAUAACUCAGCUCCUUCCUUUGCUACUUGUGUGCCUGCCUUUUUUGGAUGGUUUAUUGGUUACUGACCAUUUCUCCUCAACUUUCCUCCUCUUUCAAAGGUGACGGGAUUGGUGCUGUUCUCUUUCUGGAGAAAAAGACAUCCUUGGUCAUCUAAAGCAUUGCACUCUCUGCCUGAGAGAGGCAAUGGCCACAGCAGGGAACGACUCCUUCAUUGCCGAGGGAAUGACUCCACCACAAAGGAUCCUCUUUCCCCCCGAGAAGAUUUGCAUGGUCUGGCAGCAAAGACAGAGUGCUGGAGCAGGACUCCGCAAUGUGGGCAACACAUGCUUCCUUAAUGCUGUCCUGCAAUGCCUGACAUACACCCCGCCGCUGGCCAACUAUCUGCUCUCCCGGGAGCACAGCCAGGCCUGUCGCCAACAAGGCUUCUG
This is a long non-coding RNA of Pipra filicauda (Wire-tailed manakin), 475 nucleotides long. RefSeq lists it as uncharacterized. The transcript has 4 exons. Lineage: Eukaryota; Metazoa; Chordata; Aves; Passeriformes; Pipridae. The record is from RefSeq and is a predicted model, not a curated record.